UACAGAGGUCUCAAGCGUUGUUCGGAUUCAUUGGGCGUAAAGGGUGCGUAGGCGGCGCGGUAAGUCGGGUGUGAAAUCUCGGAGCUUAACUCCGAAACUGCAUUCGAUACUGCCGUGCUUGAGGACUGGAGAGGAGACUGGAAUUUACGGUGUAGCGGUGAAAUGCGUAGAUAUCAGGAGGAACACCGGUGGCGAAGGCGGCUCACUGGCCCGGUACUGACGCUGAGGUGCGAAAGCGUGGGGAGCAAACAGG
This 253-nucleotide ribosomal RNA is filed under the name uncultured bacterium. RNAcentral's name for it is "partial 16S ribosomal RNA". It matches the Rfam family "Bacterial small subunit ribosomal RNA", at positions 524 to 776 of the family's 1533-position model. The record is from RNAcentral.